GACAGAGGGGGCAAGCGUUGCUCGGAAUCACUGGGCGUAAAGGGCGCGUAGGCGGGAUGGCAAGUCAGUCGUGAAAUCUCUCGGCUCAACCGAGAAACGUCGGCUGAUACUGCCGUUCUUGAGGGAUGCAGAGGAGACUGGAAUUCCUGGUGUAGCGGUGAAAUGCGCAGAUAUCAGGAGGAACACCGAUGGCGAAGGCAGGUCUCUGGGCCACUACUGACGCUGAGAAGCGAAAGCAUGGGGAGCGAACAGG
This 253-nucleotide ribosomal RNA is filed under the name uncultured bacterium. RNAcentral's name for it is "partial 16S ribosomal RNA". It matches the Rfam family "Bacterial small subunit ribosomal RNA", at positions 524 to 776 of the family's 1533-position model. The record is from RNAcentral.